This 871-nucleotide ribosomal RNA is filed under the name Hymenotorrendiella eucalypti. RNAcentral describes it as "partial 28S large subunit ribosomal RNA". It matches the Rfam family "Eukaryotic large subunit ribosomal RNA", at positions 58 to 946 of the family's 3401-position model. Lineage: Eukaryota; Fungi; Ascomycota; Leotiomycetes; Helotiales; Helotiaceae. The record is from RNAcentral.
AAAGAAACCAACAGGGAUUACCUCAGUAACGGCGAGUGAAGCGGUAACAGCUCAAAUUUGAAAUCUGGGUCUUUUAGGGUCCGAGUUGUAAUUUGUAGAAGAUGCUUUGGGUGUGGCUCCGGUCUAAGUUCCUUGGAACAGGACGUCAUAGAGGGUGAGAAUCCCGUAUGUGACUGGCUGCCUUCGCCCGUGUAAAGCUCUUUCGACGAGUCGAGUUGUUUGGGAAUGCAGCUCUAAAUGGGUGGUAUAUUUCAUCUAAAGCUAAAUAUUGGCCAGAGACCGAUAGCGCACAAGUAGAGUGAUCGAAAGAUGAAAAGCACUUUGGAAAGAGAGUUAAACAGUACGUGAAAUUGUUGAAAGGGAAGCGCUUGCAACCAGACUUGCAUGCCGUCGAUCAUCCUGGGUUCUCCCUGGUGCACUCGGCGGCGUUCAGGCCAGCAUCGGUUUUGGUGGUUGGAUAAAGGCCUUGGGAAUGUGGCUCCUUUCGGGGAGUGUUAUAGCCCUCGGUGCAAUGCAGCCUACCGGGACCGAGGACCGCGCUUCGGCUAGGAUGCUGGCGUAAUGGUUGUAAGCGACCCGUCUUGAAACACGGACCAAGGAGUCUAACAUCUAUGCGAGUGUUUGGGUGUUAAACCCAUACGCGUAAUUAACGUGAACGGAGGUACGAACCCUUUAGGGUGCAGUAUCGACCGGUCCUGAUGUCUUCGGAUGGAUCUGAGUAAGAGCAUAGCUGUUGGGACCCGAAAGAUGGUGAACUAUGCCUAAAUAGGGUGAAGCCAGAGGAAACUCUGGUGGAGGCUCGCAGCGGUUCUGACGUGCAAAUCGAUCGUCAAAUUUGGGUAUAGGGGCGAAAGACUAAUCGAACCAUCAC